CCUACGGGAGGCAGCAGUGAGGAAUAUUGGUCAAUGGCCGGAAGGCUGAACCAGCCAAGCCGCGUGAAGGACGAAGGUGCCAAGCAUUGUAAACUUCUUUUGUCAAGGGACAAAAUCUGGCUCGCGAGCCCGACCGAGUGUACUUGAAGAAAAAGCAUCGGCUAACUCCGUGCCAGCAGCCGCGGUAAUACGGCGGAUGCGAGCGUUAUCCGGAUUUAUUGGGUUUAAAGGGUGCGCAGGCGGACUGUUCAGUCAGCGGUAAAAGCCCGGGACUAAACCCCGGCGAGCCGUUGAAACUGGCGGUCUUGAGAGGGAGAGAGGUAUGCGGAAUGCGGGGUGUAGCGGGGAAAUGCUUAGAUAUUGCGCAGAACUCCGAUUGCGAAGGCAGCAUACCGGCGGCGAUCUGACGCUGAGGCACGAAAGCGUGGGUAUCGAACAGGAUUAGAUACCCGAGUAGUC
This 459-nucleotide ribosomal RNA is filed under the name uncultured bacterium. RNAcentral describes it as "partial 16S ribosomal RNA". It matches the Rfam family "Bacterial small subunit ribosomal RNA", at positions 338 to 795 of the family's 1533-position model. The record is from RNAcentral.